UACCAGCACCCCGAGUGGUCGGGACGAUUAUUGGGCCUAAAGCAUGCGUAGCCGGUUCUACAAGUCUUCCGUUAAAUCCACCUGCUUAACAGAUGGGCUGCGGAGGAUACUAUGGAGCUAGGAGGCGGGAGAGGCAAGCGGUACUUAGUGGGUAGGGGUAAAAUCCGUUGAUCCAUUGAAGACCACCAGUGGCGAAGGCGGCUUGCCAGAACGCACUCGACGGUGAGGGAUGAAAGCUGGGGGAGCAAACCGG
RNAcentral lists this ribosomal RNA (253 nucleotides) under uncultured bacterium. RNAcentral's name for it is "partial 16S ribosomal RNA". It matches the Rfam family "Archaeal small subunit ribosomal RNA", at positions 474 to 727 of the family's 1478-position model. The record is from RNAcentral.